This 520-nucleotide ribosomal RNA is filed under the name uncultured Glomus. RNAcentral's name for it is "SSU rRNA". It matches the Rfam family "Eukaryotic small subunit ribosomal RNA", at positions 569 to 1091 of the family's 1831-position model. Lineage: Eukaryota; Fungi; Glomeromycota; Glomeromycetes; Glomerales; Glomeraceae. The record is from RNAcentral.
AGCAGCCGCGGUAAUUCCAGCUCCAAUAGCGUAUAUUAAAGUUGUUGCAGUUAAAAAGCUCGUAGUUGAAUUUCGGGAUCAAUAUGUCGGUCGUGCCUUCGGUACGUACUGGUAUCAUUGGUCUCUCCUUUCUGACGAACCAUGAUGUCAUUAAUUUGGUGUUAUGGGGAGUUAGGACUGUUACUUUGAAAAAAUUAGAGUGUUUAAAGCAGGCUUUAGCCUGAAUACAUUAGCAUGGAAUAAUGAGGUAGGACGUUCGAACCUAUUUUGUUGGUUUCUAGGAUCAACGUAAUGAUUAAUAGGGAUAGUUGGGGGCAUUAGUAUUCAAUUGUCAGAGGUGAAAUUCUUGGAUUUAUUGAAGACUAACUACUGCGAAAGCAUUUGCCAAGGAUGUUUUCAUUAAUCAAGAACGAAAGUUAGGGGAUCGAAGACGAUCAGAUACCGUCGUAGUCUUAACCAUAAACUAUGCCGACUAGGGAUCGGAUGAUGUUAAUUUUUAAUGACUCAUUCGGCGCCUUAA